This 135-nucleotide small nucleolar RNA is filed under the name Caenorhabditis japonica. RNAcentral describes it as "snoRNA CJA48494". It matches the Rfam family "C. elegans snoRNA ceN100". The record is from Rfam by way of RNAcentral. Lineage: Eukaryota; Metazoa; Nematoda; Chromadorea; Rhabditida; Rhabditidae.
AUGCGAGGUCCAGAGUCACCUUCCUGGCAUUAAUUGUUGGUUGGGUGCUAGGAUUGCUCGAAAAUAAAAAAAGGGUAUAUUAUGCAAGUAGAGCUUGCUUUUGCGCUCCUCUCCUUCACCUCAUUCCCAAACAUU